GAACGCUGGCGGCGUGCUUACACACAUGCAAGUCGAACGGUGAAAGGAGAGCUUGCUCUGUUUGAUCAGUGGCGAACGGGUGAGUAACACGUGAGCAAUCUGCCCCCAGACUCUGGGAUAACAGUUGGAAACAGCUGCUAAUACUGGAUACGACACGUGAAGGCAUCUUCAACGUCUGGAAAGAAUUUCGGUCAGGGAUGAGCUCGCGGCCUAUCAGCUAGUUGGUGAGGUAAUGGCUCACCAAGGCGUCGACGGGUAGCCGGCCUGAGAGGGUGACCGGCCACACUGGGACUGAGACACGGCCCAGACUCCUACGGGAGGCAGCAGUGGGGAAUAUUGCACAAUGGGCGAAAGCCUGAUGCAGCAACGCCGCGUGAGGGACGACGGCCUUCGGGUUGUAAACCUCUUUCAGCAGGGAAGAAGCGAAAGUGACGGUACCUGCAGAAAAAGCACCGGCUAACUACGUGCCAGCAGCCGCGGUAAUACGUAGGGUGCGAGCGUUAUCCGGAAUUAUUGGGCGUAAAGAGCUUGUAGGUGGUUUGUCGCGUCUGCUGUGAAAACCCGAGGCUCAACCUCGGACCUGCAGUGGGUACGGGCAGACUAGAGUGCGGUAGGGGAGAUUGGAAUUCCUGGUGUAGCGGUGGAAUGCGCAGAUAUCAGGAGGAACACCGAUGGCGAAGGCAGGUCUCUGGGCCAUUACUGACGCUGAGGAGCGAAAGGGUGGGGAGCAAACAGGAUUAGAUACCCUGGUAGUCCACCCCGUAAA
Molecule: ribosomal RNA, 766 nt
Filed under: Microbacteriaceae bacterium
Lineage: Bacteria; Bacillati; Actinomycetota; Actinomycetes; Micrococcales; Microbacteriaceae
Description: bacterial SSU rRNA
Rfam family: Bacterial small subunit ribosomal RNA
Source: RNAcentral